Perca flavescens (yellow perch) is the source of this 983-nucleotide long non-coding RNA. RefSeq lists it as uncharacterized. The transcript has 3 exons. The record is from RefSeq and is a predicted model, not a curated record. NCBI's taxonomy places the organism in Eukaryota, Metazoa, Chordata, Actinopteri, Perciformes, Percidae.
UCGGAACCGGCCCUUUGAAGUCGGAACCGGCCCUUUGAAGUUGAAGUCCGCUAUUUUCUGGACAGACGACGCCUUUACCUCCACCGUAGAUAUCGCUCUGGCUCCAAGCAGUCUAAGCAGCAAUAUGACCAGAUAUGUUGUACUUUGGCGUUUGGUGGUGAACUUCGAGGAAUCUACAGAUCAACUCUUAAAAGAAUAAGACAUACAACCAGUCCCCCUAGAAGUACAACAGAUGGAUCAUUCAUUCCUACCCUCCCUACAAACCAGAGGUGCUGCUAAAAGUCCCCAAGCAGAGGCUACGUGAUCACACCUAUGGCUGAGAAGGUAAAAUCAGGAACCCCUUUGCCAGUUCCUCGCCAGUUUCUGUGCUUCUUCAGUCAUCAUAUUCUGUGCUGCCACAGUCUCUAGUUUCUUGCAGCCGCCAGUUCCUGUGAUCUUGGAGUAAUAUUUAAUUUGUGUUAAAGUAAAUUGGUGUUAAUUAAAUACUUAAUUAUCUGUGAUUUCCCUUGUUUUCGUCAUAACUUUGAGCUGGUUCAUGACACCGUGCUGUAACAAUCACCAGUUCCUGUGAUCGAUCUUGAAGUAAUAUUUAAUUUGUGUUAAGGUAAAUUGGUGUUAAUUUAAAACUUAAUUAUCUGUGAUUUCCCUUGUUUUCGUCAUAACUUUGAGCUGGUUCAUGACACCGUGCUGUCACAAUCGCCAGUUCCUGUGAUCUUGAAGUAAUAUUUAAUUUGUGUUAAAGUAAAUUGGUGUUAAAUAAAUAUGUAAUUAUCUGUGAUUUCCUUUGUUUUCAUCAUAACUUUGAGCUGGUUUAUGACACCGUGCUGUCACAAUUGCCAGUUCCUGGGAUCCUGGAGUAAUAUUUAAUUUGUGUUAAAGUAAAUUGGUGUUAAUUAAAUACUUAAUUAUCUGUGAUUUCCCUUGUUUUCGUCAUAACUUUGAGCUGGUUCAUGACACCGUGCUGUCACAAUCGCCAGUUCCUG